RNAcentral lists this ribosomal RNA (120 nucleotides) under Petromyzon marinus (sea lamprey). Lineage: Eukaryota; Metazoa; Chordata; Hyperoartia; Petromyzontiformes; Petromyzontidae. The record is from RNAcentral.
GCCUACGACCAUCUCACCCUGAACGCGCCCGAUCUCAUCUGAUCUCGGAAGCUAAGCAUCGGUCGAGUCUGGUUAGUACUUGCAUGGGAGACUGCCUGGGAAUACCAGGUGUUCUAGGCU